AGGACGAACGCUGGCGGCGUGCUUAACACAUGCAAGUCGAGCGGAAAGGCCCUUCGGGGUACUCGAGCGGCGAACGGGUGAGUAACACGUGAGUAACCUGCCCCUAGCUCUGGGAUAGCUCCGGGAAACCGGGAUUAAUACCAGAUACGACCACUUUAGACAUCUGUCGUGGUGGAAAGGAUUCCGGCUAGGGAUGGGCUCGCUGCCUAUCAGCUUGUUGGUGGGGUAACGCCUACCAAGGCGACGACGGGUAGCCGGCCUGAGAGGGCGACCGGCCACACUGGGACUGAGACACGGCCCAGACUCCUACGGGAGGCAGCAGUGGGAAUAUUGCGCAAUGGGCGAAAGCCUGACGCAGCGACGCCGCGUGGGGGAUGAAGGCCUUCGGGUUGUAAACCCUUCAGCAGGGACGAAGCGAAGUGACGGUACCUGCAGAAGAAGCGCCGGCUAACUACGCGCCAGCAGCCGC
Molecule: ribosomal RNA, 469 nt
Filed under: uncultured bacterium
Lineage: Bacteria
Description: SSU rRNA
Rfam family: Bacterial small subunit ribosomal RNA
Source: RNAcentral